Molecule: small RNA, 361 nt
Filed under: Histoplasma capsulatum var. duboisii H88
Lineage: Eukaryota; Fungi; Ascomycota; Eurotiomycetes; Onygenales; Ajellomycetaceae
Description: Histoplasma capsulatum H88 hypothetical RNA
Source: RNAcentral
AACACCGCGCAAUUCAGAGAUAGCACUUCCCAGCUUGAAACGAGGCAACCUUUCACUUCCAGCCUACACUCUUUUACUCCACUCAGUAUCCCCUAGCAAAUUUGGAACAGAAAGCAUCCAAGAGGGGCCAUCUACACAACUUCAAGAACGAGAGAGAAAAAAAGGGAAAAAAAGAAAAAAACGCUCCGUCGCCAUAGAAGACAACCGCCGGCGGACUUUAAUGUACGGCCUCAGCCACCUCAUCUCAUUUGCAUCAGGUCGAGGGGUGGUUGGAACCCAGAGCAACAUACGUUUCAAGCGCUCCUCAAUUUUUGUCGGCUUAGGAAAUUCAACAACUAGCACUUCGCCUCGCCAGGCACAC